Molecule: ribosomal RNA, 363 nt
Filed under: uncultured bacterium
Lineage: Bacteria
Description: partial 16S ribosomal RNA
Rfam family: Bacterial small subunit ribosomal RNA
Source: RNAcentral
CCUACGGGAGGCAGCAGUGAGGAAUAUUGGUCAAUGGACGCAAGUCUGAACCAGCCAUGCCGCGUGCAGGAAGACGGCCCUAUGAGUUGUAAACAGUUUUUGUACGAGGGUAAACGCUGAUACGCGUAUCUGUCUGAAAGUAUCGUACGAAUAAGGAUCGGCUAACUACGUGCCAGCAGCCGCGGUAAUACGGAGGAUUGAAGCGUUAUCCGGAUUUAUUGGGUUUAAAGGGUGCGUAGGCGGUCGGGUAAGUCAGAGGUGAAAUCCCGGGGCUCAACUUCGGAAUUGCCUCUGAUACUGGUCGGCUAGAGAGUAGUUGCGGUAGGCGGAAUGUAAGGUGUAGCGGUGAAAUGCUUAGAGAUC